This 497-nucleotide ribosomal RNA is filed under the name uncultured bacterium. Its description in RNAcentral is "partial 16S ribosomal RNA". It matches the Rfam family "Bacterial small subunit ribosomal RNA", at positions 28 to 507 of the family's 1533-position model. The record is from RNAcentral.
GAUGAACGCUGGCGGCGUGCCUAAUACAUGCAAGUCGAGCGAACGGACGAGAAGCUUGCUUCUCUGAUGUUAGCGGCGGACGGGUGAGUAACACGUGGAUAACCUACCUAUAAGACUGGGAUAACUUCGGGAAACCGGAGCUAAUACCGGAUAAUAUUUCGAACCGCAUGGUUCAAAAGUGAAAGACGGUCUUGCUGUCACUUAUAUAUGUAUCCGCGCUGCAUUAGCUAGUUGGUAAGGUAACGGCUUACCAAGGCAACGAUGCAUAGCCGACCUGAGAGGGUGAUCGGCCACACUGGAACUGAGACACGGUCCAGACUCCUACGGGAGGCAGCAGUAGGGAAUCUUCCGCAAAGGGCGAAAGCCUGACGGAGCAACGCCGCGUGAGUGAUGAAGGUCUUCGGAUCGUAAAACUCUGUUAUUAGGGAAGAACAUAUGUGUAAGUAACUGUGCACAUCUUGACGGUACCUAAUCAGAAAGCCACGGCUAACUACGUG